This 956-nucleotide unclassified non-coding RNA is filed under the name Hevea brasiliensis (rubber tree). The record is from RNAcentral. Lineage: Eukaryota; Viridiplantae; Streptophyta; Magnoliopsida; Malpighiales; Euphorbiaceae.
GCACAACUUUAUUAUGCAAUAUGGACACCAAAUUACAAACAUAGGCACUUCAACAAUUGAACCACUAGCUCUCACCAUCAUGGCUCCACACAUAAACACACAAAAGGAGCAGAUUUCAAACCAAACAAACAAGCCCUUAAUGACUCACAUCUCUGUUCGGAUACGAGAGACACGUGCAGCGUUUUCUUUAUUCCGAUACUAUAAUAUAAUAAUAACGACUGCACUUGAUCAGGAACAGAGAAGGCUAAUUUUGGCUAAAUUGCCAACACCAAACCCGGCACUGACUUCCCGACCCGAUUGGAGAGACUGCUCUCCCAAACGAACGGGCAAUGCACGGGAGUUAUCUCCGCCGAUGAAGAUGACGAUGAAGACGGAGAUGAAUAAUCAGAAGGCUCUGAUUGAUCUUGGUUUCCAAGACGAGUAACAGUAAGAGAAGUAUUGAAGUACUCUCUCACCUGGGUAAUUAUCCCAUCCGUGACGGUCCAAGCGUGAACCCAAGAAAUGGCGCGGCUAGAAUCGCAGCCUUCAGCAAUCACGAUCGAUCCAAAGGCCCUGAUGACCUCCGGUUUGAACUCAAAACCAGUGGAGCUUUUUCCAACUUUUCCUGAUGAUACGGUGUCAGUACCAGUGAGAAGGCGCAUCAUAAACUGGUGAGACGGCGGGCCAUGGAACCACCACUCGAGGUCGGAGGCAAGGAUCUUUUCAACAGUGUCCACGUCUCGAGAUCUUAAGGCCUCAUAGAGGUCAAGAACCACCUCUUGGUUCUUUCUUGAUGAUUCUUCCAGUAUUUCCUCUGAGUUAGCCAGUUCGAGAAUAAGCCCGGAGUCGGCCCUUUAACACAGAAGCUAAGAGAUAAAGAGAACAGAGAGUUCUAGAAAGAGAGAGAAAUGGUUUAUGAAAAAGGAACCAGAAGAAACUGGUGAAGGUUUCAAAUGGAGAAGGAGGACAUUAUAUAG